RNAcentral lists this ribosomal RNA (451 nucleotides) under uncultured bacterium. RNAcentral describes it as "bacterial SSU rRNA". It matches the Rfam family "Bacterial small subunit ribosomal RNA", at positions 355 to 796 of the family's 1533-position model. The record is from RNAcentral.
UGGGGAAUAUUGGGCAAUGGGCGCAAGCCUGACCCAGCCACGCCGCGUGAGUGAUGAAGGUCUUCGGAUCGUAAAGCUCUGUGGAGAGGGAAGAAACCUUCGAGGGAACAAUACCCCUCGGACUUGACGGUACCUCUUUAGCAAGCACCGGCUAACUCCGUGCCAGCAGCCGCGGUAAUACGGAGGGUGCAAACGUUGCUCGGAAUCAUUGGGCGUAAAGCGUGUGUAGGCGGUCUGUUAAGUCGGGUGUGAAAGCCCUGGGCUCAACCCAGGAAGUGCAUUCGAAACUAGCAGACUUGAGUACGGGAGAGGGUCGCGGAAUUCCCGGUGUAGAGGUGAAAUUCGUAGAUAUCGGGAGGAACACCAGUGGCGAAGGCGGCGACCUGGACCGAUACUGACGCUGAGACACGAAAGCGUGGGGAGCAAACAGGAUUAGAUACCCCGGUAGUCC